GACGAACGCUGGCGGCGUGCUUAACACAUGCAAGUCGAACGGAAAGGCCCUGCUUUUGUGGGGUGCUCGAGUGGCGAACGGGUGAGUAACACGUGAGUAACCUGCCCUUGACUUUGGGAUAACUUCAGGAAACUGGGGCUAAUACCGGAUAGGAGCUCCUGCUGCAUGGUGGGGGUUGGAAAGUUUCGGCGGUUGGGGAUGGACUCGCGGCUUAUCAGCUUGUUGGUGGGGUAGUGGCUUACCAAGGCUUUGACGGGUAGCCGGCCUGAGAGGGUGACCGGCCACAUUGGGACUGAGAUACGGCCCAGACUCCUACGGGAGGCAGCAGUGGGGAAUAUUGCACAAUGGGCGGAAGCCUGAUGCAGCAACGCCGCGUGCGGGAUGACGGCCUUCGGGUUGUAAACCGCUUUCGCCUGUGACGAAGCGUGAGUGACGGUAAUGGGUAAAGAAGCACCGGCUAACUACGUGCCAGCAGCCGCGGUGAUACGUAGGGUGCGAGCGUUGUCCGGAUUUAUUGGGCGUAAAGGGCUCGUAGGUGGUUGAUCGCGUCGGAAGUGUAAUCUUGGGGCUUAACCCUGAGCGUGCUUUCGAUACGGGUUGACUUGAGGAAGGUAGGGGAGAAUGGAAUUCCUGGUGGAGCGGUGGAAUGCGCAGAUAUCAGGAGGAACACCAGUGGCGAAGGCGGUUCUCUGGGCCUUUCCUGACGCUGAGGAGCGAAAGCGUGGGGAGCGAACAGGCUUAGAUACCCUGGUAGUCCACGCUGUAAACGGUGGGUACUAGGUGUGGGGUCCAUUCCACGGGUUCCGUGCCGUAGCUAACGCUUUAAGUACCCCGCCUGGGGAGUACGGCCGCAAGGCUAAAACUCAAAGGAAUUGACGGGGCCCCGCACAAGCGGCGGAGCAUGCGGAUUAAUUCGAUGCAACGCGUAGAACCUUACCUGGGUUUGACAUGGAUCGGGAGUGCUCAGAGACGGGUGUGCCUCUUUUGGGGUCGGUUCACAGGUGGUGCAUGGCUGUCGUCAGCUCGUGUCGUGAGAUGUUGGGUUAAGUCCCGCAACGAGCGCAACCCUUGUUCACUGUUGCCAGCACGUUAUGGUGGGGACUCAGUGGAGACCGCCGGGGUCAACUCGGAGGAAGGUGGGGAUGACGUCAAGUCAUCAUGCCCCUUAUGUCCAGGGCUUCACGCAUGCUACAAUGGCUGGUACAGAGAGUGGCGAGCCUGUGAGGGUGAGCGAAUCUCGGAAAGCCGGUCUCAGUUCGGAUUGGGGUCUGCAACUCGACCUCAUGAAGUCGGAGUCGCUAGUAAUCGCAGAUCAGCAACGCUGCGGUGAAUACGUUCCCGGGGCU
This 1346-nucleotide ribosomal RNA is filed under the name uncultured bacterium. Its description in RNAcentral is "partial 16S ribosomal RNA". It matches the Rfam family "Bacterial small subunit ribosomal RNA", at positions 28 to 1381 of the family's 1533-position model. The record is from RNAcentral.